CGAAAUAGCUCAAUUGGUAGAGCAACUGACUUGUAAUCAGUAGGUUACGGGUUCAAUUCCUGUUGUCGGC
RNAcentral lists this transfer RNA (70 nucleotides) under human gut metagenome. It matches the Rfam family "tRNA". From Rfam's summary of the family: Transfer RNA (tRNA) molecules are approximately 80 nucleotides in length. Their secondary structure includes four short double-helical elements and three loops (D, anti-codon, and T loops). The record is from RNAcentral.